UUGGUGUGAUUGAGAAUCCCGUGAACCAUCGAGUCUUUGAACGCAAGUUGCGCCCAAAGCCUUCGGGUCGAGGGCACGUCUGCCUGGGUGUCACGC
RNAcentral lists this ribosomal RNA (96 nucleotides) under Kirganelia reticulata. RNAcentral's name for it is "Phyllanthus reticulatus partial 5.8S ribosomal RNA". It matches the Rfam family "5.8S ribosomal RNA", at positions 62 to 154 of the family's 154-position model. Rfam says of the family: 5.8S ribosomal RNA (5.8S rRNA) is a component of the large subunit of the eukaryotic ribosome. It is transcribed by RNA polymerase I as part of the 45S precursor that also contains 18S and 28S rRNA. Functionally, it is thought that 5.8S rRNA may be involved in ribosome translocation. The record is from RNAcentral. Lineage: Eukaryota; Viridiplantae; Streptophyta; Magnoliopsida; Malpighiales; Phyllanthaceae.